RNAcentral lists this long non-coding RNA (269 nucleotides) under Homo sapiens (human). RNAcentral's name for it is "HSALNT0124838". Lineage: Eukaryota; Metazoa; Chordata; Mammalia; Primates; Hominidae. The record is from RNAcentral.
CUUUGGUCUUUGAUGACGGUGACAUGCAGAUGGGGUUUUAGUAUGGAUGUCCUUUCUGUUCGUUAGUUUUCCUUCUAACAGUUAGGACCCUCAGCUACAGGUCUGUUGGAGUUUGCUGGAGAUCCACUCCAGACGCUGUUUGCCUGGGUAUCACCAGCGGAGGCUGCAGAACAGCGAAUAUUGGUGAACAGCAAAUGUUUCUGCCUGACCGUUCCUCUGGAAGCUUCAUCUCACAGGGGUACCCGGCCAUGUGAGUUGUCAGUCUGCAC